GAUGAACGCUGGCGGCGUGCCUAAUACAUGCAAGUCGAGCGAACAGACGAGGAGCUUGCUCCUCUGACGUUAGCGGCGGACGGGUGAGUAACACGUGGAUAACCUACCUAUCAGUCUGGGAUAAUUUCGGGACACCGGAGCUAACACGGAAAAAAAUUUUGACCCACUGGGUUCAUUGUGAAAUUUCGUUUUUCUUGUGUCUAUUGGUGGGUUCGCGCCGCAUUUGUUAGAUUGUUAGGUAACGGCUUACCAAGGGAAAGAGGCGUUGCCCACCGGAUAGGGUGAUCGGCGACACGAGAACUGAGACACGGUCCAGACUCCUGCGAGAGGCAGCAGUAGGCAAUCUUCCGCAAUGGGCGAGAGCCUUACGGAGCGACGCCGCGCGUGUGAUGAAGGUCUUCGGAUCGUAAAACUCUGUUAGUAGGUAAGAACAACUGUGUAAGUAACUAUGCACGGCGUGACGGUACCUAAUCAGAAAGCCACGGCUAACUACGUG
Molecule: ribosomal RNA, 496 nt
Filed under: uncultured bacterium
Lineage: Bacteria
Description: partial 16S ribosomal RNA
Rfam family: Bacterial small subunit ribosomal RNA
Source: RNAcentral